AGAACAAAAGAGAUGAACAUUUAUUGAAAAAAAGAAAUGUUCCUCAAGAAGAAAGUUUAGAAGAUUCAGAUGUUGAUGCUGAUUUUAAAGCACAAAAUGUAACACUAGAAGCUAUAUUGCAGAAUGCCACAAGUGAUAACCCAGUGGUCCAGCUAAGUGCUGUCCAGGCAGCAAGAAAACUGUUAUCCAGUGACAGAAACCCACCUAUUGAUGACCUAAUAAAAUCUGGGAUUUUACCAAUUCUAGUCAAAUGUCUAGAAAGGGAUGAUAAUCCUUCAUUACAGUUUGAAGCUGCUUGGGCACUAACUAAUAUAGCAUCAGGAACUUCUGCACAGACUCAAGCUGUUGUACAGUCUA
Molecule: long non-coding RNA, 357 nt
Organism: Galeopterus variegatus (Sunda flying lemur)
Lineage: Eukaryota; Metazoa; Chordata; Mammalia; Dermoptera; Cynocephalidae
Exons: 5
Source: RefSeq, a predicted model, not a curated record